Molecule: ribosomal RNA, 497 nt
Filed under: uncultured bacterium
Lineage: Bacteria
Description: partial 16S ribosomal RNA
Rfam family: Bacterial small subunit ribosomal RNA
Source: RNAcentral
GAUGAACGCUGGCGGCGUGCCUAAUACAUGCAAGUCGAGCGAACAGACGAGGAUCUUGCUCCUCUGACGUUAGCGGCGGACGGGUGAGUAACACGUGGAUAACCUACCUAUAAGACUGGGAUAACUUCGGGAAACCGGAGCUAAUACCGGAUAAUAUAUUGAACCGCAUGGUUCAAUAGUGAAAGACGGUUUUGCUGUCACUUAUAGAUGGAUCCGCGCCGCAUUAGCUAGUUGGUAAGGUAACGGCUUACCAAGGCAACGAUGCGUAGCCGACCUGCGAGGGUGAUCGGCCACACUGGAACUGAGACACGGUCCAGACUCCUACGGGAGGCAGCAGGAGGGAAUCUUCCGCAAUGGGCGAAAGCCUGACGGAGCAACGGCGCGUGAGUGAUGAAGGUCUUCGGAUCGUAAAACUCUGUUAUUAGGGAAGAACAAAUGUGUAAGUAACUAUGCACGUCUAGGCGGUACCUAAUCAGAAAGCCACGGCUAACUACGUG